AAGAGACACUUGGUGUUCUUCCCUGUGGACGGGAUGUACCUUCUCUGAUCACCUGCCUUUGUUUUGUUGGCCUUUAUAACCUCAUAGAUUCUGACAGGAACUAAACGUUUGAUAAAGUCCAUGACAGACGGUGUCAACUAAUAGGAAGUUCUUGUUACGUAAUUGCUGAAUUAAGUAACCGGAUCAUACCCAUUUUAGGUUAAAACUACUAUUUAAAAAAAAAAAAAGGAGAAGCUGAAGUUGAGGAGGUUAACUCGAGUUUGUGCUAACGAAGAAGCUAACGGCUAACAGAACCGGAAGCUAUAACCAAAUGAAGCAGAUUUCUCUCAGUGCACCUGCGGUUAUGUCUGCGGUACGGAGGAUUCUGAACAUCUGUGUUGGUCUUCAUUGGCUGCAGUAAGCAGUGGUGCGGCGUGGAGGAGGUGUGGCUGGCCUUGAACGAGGUUUGUCCUGUUUCACCUGCUGCUGCUCAGCAUCAGUGACGAGGAGGACAAGGAGGAGCAGCCAGGAGCCGUGUGGAAGGACGCUCAUGUCGGCUGAGGAGACAUAGGAGAAGACGUCACCUCUGAUUCAGGUUCGUGAUACACAAGCUGACCACCAGAGGGCAGCAAAAGACCAGCAGCCCCCUUCGUCCCGUUAGCUACAACAGGCCACAAGUCCACUAAUCCACAGGAGCAGGGAACCAAUGAGAGACAGAGGGCGGAGUCACAGUAUUGGAGAUCACACAGACGUUCCGUCUUGUGUCUUGAACUUACAUCUAAUUCAAACGUCUUCAGUGCCGUCCUGUACCCUCCAGACACCGGGGGCAAAAAGCGAAGCACCUCUUUGACAAUACAGUCAACGUAGCACAAC
Molecule: long non-coding RNA, 852 nt
Organism: Cynoglossus semilaevis (tongue sole)
Lineage: Eukaryota; Metazoa; Chordata; Actinopteri; Pleuronectiformes; Cynoglossidae
Exons: 6
Source: RefSeq, a predicted model, not a curated record